Long non-coding RNA from Bombus huntii, 511 nucleotides. RefSeq lists it as uncharacterized. NCBI's taxonomy places the organism in Eukaryota, Metazoa, Arthropoda, Insecta, Hymenoptera, Apidae. The transcript has 3 exons. The record is from RefSeq and is a predicted model, not a curated record.
AAUUGACCAAUCACUAAAAAUGAUUUAAAAAAGGGAAGAUAUCGAAAUGGAAUGCGUAUGCGCAGAUCAGUUAUUUUAGUUUCGCGCGUUCGGUCGAAAAUAUGACGCUAUUGUAUUCGAUAUUAUAAUGCAGUCGUGUAAUUCAAUUGCGUAAUUCAAUUCCGUGAAUAUUCGCAAUUGUCGAGUGUUUUCCGCAAAGACAUUAAUGAGUAUAAGCAUUUUUCGUCGAAUUUAAGUUUGUGAGAAGUGAUAUUUUAUAUAUUGUUAAGGCUAUGUAGUUAUCAGAUUUGCCAGAAUGAUUUGUUUUGAAUUUGAUCAACUUCUGAACGGCUCAUUUAUGCAGAUUAUAUGCAGAUUACUCGGAGAUACGUGUUCCGUUACGUGGAAUCUUGCUGCGAUUGAGUAGCGAGACAAGAGGAAGAAGGAGAGAUGGCUGGUCAUUGAUCGCGUGAUCACGUUACCGAAAAUUGAAUGGCGAUGAAGCGUGACAGCAUUCGCGUGGGGUGAGUCA